RNAcentral lists this ribosomal RNA (550 nucleotides) under uncultured bacterium. RNAcentral describes it as "bacterial SSU rRNA". It matches the Rfam family "Bacterial small subunit ribosomal RNA", at positions 355 to 896 of the family's 1533-position model. The record is from RNAcentral.
UAGGGAAUCUUCGGCAAUGGGGGGAACCCUGACCGAGCAACGCCGCGUGAGUGAAGAAGGUUUUCGGAUCGUAAAGCUCUGUUGUUAAGGAAGAACGAGUGUGAGAAUGGAAAGUUCAUACUGUGACAGUACUUAACCAGAAAGGGACGGCUAACUACGUGCCAGCAGCCGCGGUAAUACGUAGGUCCCGAGCGUUGUCCGGAUUUAUUGGGCGUAAAGCGAGCGCAGGCGGUUAGAAAAGUCUGAAGUGAAAGGCAGUGGCUCAACCAUUGUAGGCUUUGGAAACUGUUUAACUUGAGUGCAGAAGGGGAGAGUGGAAUUCCAUGUGUAGCGGUGAAAUGCGUAGAUAUAUGGAGGAACACCGGUGGCGAAAGCGGCUCUCUGGUCUGUAACUGACGCUGAGGCUCGAAAGCGUGGGGAGCGAACAGGAUUAGAUACCCUGGUAGUCCACGCCGUAAACGAUGAGUGCUAGGUGUUAGGUCCUUUCCGGGACUUAGUGCCGCAGCUAACGCAUUAAGCACUCCGCCUGGGGAGUACGACCGCAAGGUUG